GACGAGUCACUACGGUGAUGAAGUAGCUCAUGCCCCGCUUCCAGGAAAAGCCUCUAAGCUCUAGAUUAUCAUUAAUCGUACCCCAAACCGACACAGGUGGUCAGGUAGAGAAUACUCAGGCGCUUGAGAGAACUCGGGUGAAGGAACUAGGCAAAAUGGUGCCGUAACUUCGGGAGAAGGCACGCUGGCAUUAGGUGAAGUGAUUUACUCAUGGAGCUGAAGCCAGUCGCAGAUACCAGCUGGCUGCAACUGUUUAUUAAAAACACAGCACUGUGCAAACACGAAAGUGGACGUAUACGGUGUGACGCCUGCCCGGUGCUGGAAGGUUAAUUGAUGGGGUUAUCCGUAAGGAGAAGCUCUUGAUCGAAGCCCCAGUAAACGGCGGCCGUAACUAUAACGGUCCUAAGGUAGCGAAAUUCCUUGUCGGGUAAGUUCCGACCUGCACGAAUGGCGUAAUGAUGGCCAGGCUGUCUCCACCCGAGACUCAGUGAAAUUGAACUCGCUGUGAAGAUGCAGUGUACCCGCGGCAAGACGGAAAGACCCCGUGAACCUUUACUAUAGCUUGACACUGAACAUUGAGCCUUGAUGUGUAGGAUAGGUGGGAGGCUUUGAAGCGUGGACGCCAGUCUGCGUGGAGCCAACCUUGAAAUACCACCCUUUAAUGUUUGAUGUUCUAACGUUGCCCC
This 686-nucleotide ribosomal RNA is filed under the name Providencia rettgeri. RNAcentral describes it as "partial 23S ribosomal RNA". It matches the Rfam family "Bacterial large subunit ribosomal RNA", at positions 1568 to 2234 of the family's 2925-position model. The record is from RNAcentral. Lineage: Bacteria; Pseudomonadati; Pseudomonadota; Gammaproteobacteria; Enterobacterales; Morganellaceae.